Molecule: unclassified non-coding RNA, 227 nt
Filed under: Hevea brasiliensis (rubber tree)
Lineage: Eukaryota; Viridiplantae; Streptophyta; Magnoliopsida; Malpighiales; Euphorbiaceae
Source: RNAcentral
GGGGAUUUGUAUCCCCAUCACGAAAUGUUGCAGGAGACGUUCGCUCGAUAUUUUUCGCCGUCAUUCCGGGGCGCGCGUUGUCGCGCGAGCCCGGAAUCCACAGCCACAAAUGAGAUUCCCGCAGUGGAUUCCGGGCCUGCGCCAAGCGGCGCAUCCCGAAUGACGGUGGAGCGAUCUUCUCGCCAUCACCACCACGCGCGGUGGUUAUGGGUCCCCGCUUUCGCGGG